This 379-nucleotide ribosomal RNA is filed under the name Amblyomma transversale. RNAcentral's name for it is "partial 16S ribosomal RNA". The stretch from base 248 to 379 matches the Rfam family "Archaeal large subunit ribosomal RNA", at positions 2542 to 2674 of the family's 2987-position model. The record is from RNAcentral. Lineage: Eukaryota; Metazoa; Arthropoda; Arachnida; Ixodida; Ixodidae.
AAUUGAAUGCUAAAAGAAUGGAAAGUUAAAUAAAAGCUUUCUUUAUAUUAAAAAUUGAAUUUAUUUUUGUUUGUGAAGAAACAAUUAUGAAAAUUUGGGACAAGAAGACCCUAAGAAUUUUUAAUGAAUAUUUUGUAUAAAUUUAUAUGUUAUUAUUCAUUUAAUUGGGGCGAUUAAAAAAUAUAAAUAACUUUUUUUUUAAAAAAAAGAUCCAUUAUUAAUGAUAAUUUGAAAAAAAUACUCUAGGGAUAACAGCGUAAUAAUUUUAGAUAGUUCUUAUAGAAAAAAUAGUUUGCGACCUCGAUGUUGGAUUAGGAUACUUUUUUAAUGAAGAAGUUAAAGAAAGAAGUUUGUUCAACUUUUAAAUUCCUACUUGAUC